This is a non-coding RNA of Cyanistes caeruleus (blue tit), 1777 nucleotides long. The record is from RefSeq and is a predicted model, not a curated record. Lineage: Eukaryota; Metazoa; Chordata; Aves; Passeriformes; Paridae.
GUCCCGCUCCCAUCCAUCGAGCUGUCCCGUUCGGGUCGCCGUUGCCCAGGACGGCCACACGGGAUAGCUCCUCCCCAGUCGGAGGACAGGGACGGGUAUUUCACAGACUCCCAUGAGACUCAGGGUCUCAGCCUGUGUGGUUUCAACAUCUCCAGGGUUUAGGAGUUCUGGGGAAACUUUAACUCAUCUACCUUCCCAGCAUGGACUUUCCUGCAGCAACUGUUCCUCCAUCCCCAUCCCUAGGAGCUUCUGAAGCCAAAUGAGACAGAGGAGAAGACCUUUAAAACCCUUGGGGUUCCUACAGGCUUUAUGAAAAUCAAGGGAAGUUUCAGGAGACCCAGGCUGGGGUGGGUUUAGCAUAGGCAGUAGUUUGGGAUCUGGCAGUGUGGCUGUGCUUCUCCAAGUCAGCUGGCACAUCCAGCUGCUUCCCCAGCAGCAGUGAAGGGGCAGAGAGGGGUGACAGCAUAAUAGAGGAGAGAUCUUGGGGCUGUCAGAGACCUAUACUGAGCUGAAUGGAGAGUUCCAGCAAGGAGCUGAAAGGACACAAACCAGAAACCUCUGAGAAAACUCUGCUUUGUUUGGUUAGUGCAGCAAUUAGUUGUUUUGUUUUGUUUUUUUCCAGAGGCAUAAACCUGAUUUUCUGUUUUCUGAUGUUUACCCAAACUGAUGGUAGUAUUUGCAGUAUUGGGGCACUUACUGGCCAUCCUUUCUUCCUGAAAUUCCUUGGCUCUGCAAGUGAUUUGGUAGGAACAUGCACACAGGGCUGAUUGCUAGGGCCUCGGAGCAGUUUGAGGAGCUGAAGUUUGGGGAUCUGCUGCCACCAGCAGUGUGACAGUGGAGUGGGUGUUGGUCCACAGCGGGAGCAGCAAAUGCAGCUCUCGGGGGGACCUUCACACCGCCUGCCCUAAAGCCUCCAGGUUUUGUUGCCUUGAAAAAAAGAAGCAGCUCUAAUGGAACCAAACACACAAUUGAGAGCAGCUGCUGCUGCUGCUGGGAGAUCUGCACUCCCUUGAUCACACUGCCUACAUGAGGCACCCACACUCAGGGUGGUGAACUCAACCUGGGGAUGUUGCAUCACAGAACUUUCAUAAAACAUUCUGUUUAAGACUGAGCCAACUCAGGGAUGAUUCAUCUUUGUUCCUGCAAACAGAUGCUGGUUUAGGCACUUUUUGUGUGCCCUGCUGGAAUUAUGCAAUGAUGACAUUUUUUGGGGUAAACAAGCCACUCCUUUCCCCGACUCACUGUACAAAUUAGGUGUUCUGGUUCCUGAGGCACCUUCCAGUCCUCCCUGGCAACUCUUCCAGCCUAAUACAUUUGGGAGACCACAGCUUUGUUGUUACUCUGAGAUUUUAUCAGGGCCCUGUGCAAUGACUUACACAUCUCAGGGAUGUUUCUUGUUCCUGUGGGAUCUAUCCCAUCCUAUCCCAUGUCCCAGAGGGGUGAUUUUCACCCACCAUUUAUUUUGGCCAAGCUGUCAUGUUUUAUUUUCAUAAUCAACCCCUUCAGGGUUAUACUGUGUUUCCUUCUGCCUUUCCCACCACAGACCUUGCAUAGCAGUAGUUGCAUUGUAGUCCUUACUGGUCCUCAGUGGUUUUGGUGUCCCUGAGAAAUUCACAUUUACAUACUCGGUCUCACUAUACUGAGGUCCUUUGCUGAUGAACAUUUGAUUUUGCUUUUGCCUCUUUUCAGGUUGUCUUCUGUUGGAGUUUAUUGGCUAGAACACCUGCCAGCUUUUGGGUUUGAAUGAAGAAAUACCCAUAAAUUCAUAUGCCUUUAA